AAAAAUAGAAAAAGCAUCUUGGACCACUGGAUUGGAAAUGAAUGGUACAGAUUUAGGUGGAGGGAUCUCAGAUCACUUAAUGCACAUUUCGCAGAAACCCCCCUGCUAAAGUUAUAUAUGAAAUAGGACGUUUGUAGUAUACACCUCAAGUCUUCAUGAAAUAUGACCCUUUUUAAUAUAAGCACAGUGCUGAUGCCCAUCUCUUGUUAGUUUGAUAUAAAAUCUUUGCAAAUAUUUUCUACGUACAUGGAAUCCAUACACAUUAAGUGUCUUUUUUGGCCUCUGAGACAUUCAGGAGAGUUGAACAUCUUUCUAAGAACAUCAAUAUGUAUCACUAAUAUUUUAGCAAUGAGAGAAUUAAGCCAUCCCGGAUGAAGACCUACAGGUAGAUGUCAAAUUGUAAGUAUAUGAGUACAUGAGCAAAUUUAGGGCUGAAAUUAUCACUGCUCAGCAAGCAUUCGAGUAUUUUCGUAUUUGAGUACAUGAGAACAAAACGCAAGAGGCAUACAUAGAUUAUUUUUAGUACAUGUCCGGGAAGAACUAGUACUAAGAACUUAGAUUAUGACCACCCAACAAAUAUCUUGAUGGUACAUGAAAGAAAAGAUCUAUCAUUUUGCCUCUUGUUUUAGUGCUUCUUUGGUAAUUGAGUUUCAUCUGCCAGGAGAGAUGACAACCUCCAUGGACUCUUAUUCACCUUGAUCAGUUUAAUCACCUAGCUAAGCACACCAAAUAAACCUGUGUCAGAAACAAAUACCAAAUAGCAUAUCUUGAGAAGAGAGACGGUCAUUAUGUAUAGCUUCAUUCGCCGCUCCAACUCAGAAUACGUAAACUAGAUGUCAAACUUAGGAUGACAUUCCUCAAACAUAUUAAUACACAUGUAACCAAUCAGGAUAACUUUUCAGGUCAAUGCUGGCUUUCCAGCUUCUACAGGGGAGUUAUCAAAUCAACUAAAAAUGGCAUGUGAUAGCAGGAUAUGUCUAACAGAGAGAGCACAAAUAUUUGUUGCGGCAUAUUUCCGUAUUUCAUUGUAGAUUAUGUUAUGUUGUUAUACCUACUGACUUAUAAAACCAACAUCAUCCAAACUCAUUUUUUGCAAGAAAACAAUAUAACACGCAUAUGUUCUAACUCAAAAGAGUUGUGAUAAAGUGACAAAGAUUCAUGUUUGUGACAUUGGAUGGCCUUUAGCUGCUUGCAUAAAAACCAGCUCAUAAGAAUUGGAUAAGCAUGGUAUCCUAUGAAAAAAACACGCUUUAUAUGCAAAUCUUAUGACGACAAAGUACAAAAUAGAGGAUAUUGAUGAGACAAAACAGAAUUGAAGUUGCAUAUUUGUGCAUUUAAUUCAGAGUACAUAGCAGAAUAAAAGAAAUAAUUGCAGGCAUGAAUCCCUAGUUUCUAUCAUGGAUUCAAGCACAUGUGUCGUUGAGGAGUUAAGAAAGGAGAGGGACCAUGGUGUGGCGGCGCCGCUCAGAUCGUGUGGUCGUGCGGAGGAGAAGACCACAAGGCACAACUUUGUAAAGUGCAGAAAGGGGUAGAGUGUAGGUACUGCGCGCUGGAGAUGUACAACAGGUGGAGGUCGUGGUGCCUAACGUAAACAGAAGUUUAUAACUAAACUUGUAAUGGCACAUGCAGCUGAGCAAUUGAUAAAAUGUGACACUGUUUGAGCGAAUGAAAUAAAAGGUUAAAAGUUAACUAAGAAUGUAUAAGAAAUUUUUAAUGGGCUGUGAACAAUCUCAGUAAGUAUCCCUAUUCUCUAUUGCGCACAGUGCACACACGGAAAGUUGGAAACAGAGUAGCUACUUUUACUGAAAACUGAAAAUAUGAAGUAUCAGAUAACGAAUCUAACGAUGCAUCAUUGAGACAUGAACAGAUUCCACGUUAACAAGUACGGUAGUAAAAAGAAAAGGAAUCUGUACAGAUGUAGCAUCAAUCUAGUAGCUAAUAUAUAUUUACCUGAAGAACAAACCACCGUGAUGGCCUGUUCACGGCACCUAGAAGCGGUCGGUCGUGAAGGAGGCGAGGAUUCCACCACCGCCGAGCUGGUGCUGCAUCGCAUGCGGGGAAAGGACCCGGGAGCAGGGCCGCGAGCUGAUCAGGGGGCCUGAGUUGGGGGAGGAAUCCAAUCUAAUCUGCCUCAAACUACAGCGCCGGCGACGAACCGGUUAGGAUCCAUUGGAGGAGAGAUGCAUCAGCACAUUUGCUGGGCGUGCUCGCCCAGCUUGGCUGAGGAUCUGGGCCUCCGCCGCCGCCAAGGAUUUUUCGGUCCUGCCGCCGCCGCUGUGUAAGGGGAUUUGGGAUUGAAGCGGGAGGGCAUCGAAAGCAAAUUUGCUUGGAGCGUCGGACCUUUCUCC
This 2348-nucleotide long non-coding RNA is filed under the name Triticum aestivum (bread wheat). RNAcentral's name for it is "long non-coding RNA (TAES_LNC004130)". The record is from RNAcentral. Lineage: Eukaryota; Viridiplantae; Streptophyta; Magnoliopsida; Poales; Poaceae.